This 464-nucleotide ribosomal RNA is filed under the name uncultured bacterium. Its description in RNAcentral is "bacterial SSU rRNA". It matches the Rfam family "Bacterial small subunit ribosomal RNA", at positions 224 to 704 of the family's 1533-position model. RNAcentral also lists the same sequence under 2 other names. The record is from RNAcentral.
GGUGGGCCCGCGGCCUAUCAGCUAGUCGGUGGGGUCACGGCCUACCGAGGCGAUGACGGGUAGCUGGUCUGAGAGGACGACCAGCCACACGGGGACUGAGACACGGCCCCGACUCCUACGGGAGGCAGCAGUGAGGAAUCUUCCGCAAUGGGCGAAAGCCUGACGGAGCGACGCCGCGUGUGGGAUGAAGUCUUUCGGGAUGUAAACCACUGUCGGAGGGGAAGACAUCGACGGUACCCUCCAAGAAAGCCCCGGCUAACUACGUGCCAGCAGCCGCGGUAAUACGUAGGGGGCAAGCGUUAUCCAGAUUUACUGGGCGUAAAGCGCGUGUAGGCGGCUGGUUAGGUGUGAUGUGAAAUCUUCCGGCUCAACCGGAAAACUGCAUUGCAAACCGGCCUGGCUAGAGUGCAGGAGAGGGAAGCGGAAUUCCAGGUGUAGCGGUGAAAUGCGUAGAUAUCUGGAGG